UCGCAGCGCUGCGGUGGGGCGGGGCGCGGCAGGGGGCGCCGGGGGGGACGCAGUGGUGCGCGGAGAUCCCUGACCUCGGGGCCCGGCGCGUCGUUGUGACGUAAUCGCUGCGCGACAGCGGCGAGGAGCGGGGUCACGCGGAAGGCGGAGUGACGUCAGCGCCGGAGUGACGUCGUCACGGGAGUUGCGUCAUCUCGGUGACGUCACCUCGCGCCAUGUGGCGGAGCUGCGGGGCGGGGGUGCGCGCGGUGGUGGCCCACGGGUUGUGCCGGGUCCCCCCCACGGCUCUGUGCUCGGUGUCCCCGCAGGACUUGGCUGUCCCCAAUGCUGGGUGGAGCGUGGCCAUGCGUGAGCAGUUCCAGCAUCUGCUGCGCCGUGCUGCUGACGGCUCCUGGCGCCGCAUCCCCUCCUACCGCCGCGGCCUCGACCACCUCCCAGAGGUGCUGCAGAUGGUGGUGGGGCCGGUGACGGGACCGGGGCCACGGCUGUUCCUGCGCAACCUGGACGCAGAGGGUGCUGGCUUUGAGUACGCCAUCUUCCUGCACGCCUCCGGCCACCGCACGCAGUGCCUGUGCCAGCUGGGACCCUACCUGGAAGGCCACCAUGGCUUCGCACACGGUGGUGCCAUCGCCACUCUCAUUGACACCACGGUGGGGACGUGCGCACUGGCGGUGGCCAAAACAUCGGUGGUGACGGCCAAGCUGAGCAUCAGCUACCUGGCCCCCACACGUUUGUCCCCUCCUUGUCCCUCAGCCCCAUGCCAGUGGGUGCUGUGGUAGUGGCCGACAGCUGCAUGGAGCGGCACGAGGGACGCAAGAUCUUCCUUUCCUGCCAUGUGCGUGACACCAAAGGGGACACGCUGUACGCCGAGGCCACUGCGCUCUUCAUCCAGGUGGAGGACACCAAGCCCUCCCUGGCUGCCUGUCCCUAGCAGUGACGCUGUAACGCUGGAGGGGGGUGGCAGUGUGGUGUCCCUGUGUCACCUUCUGGGAUCAGAGCGUGGCACUGCAGUGA
This is an RNA transcript of Tympanuchus pallidicinctus (lesser prairie-chicken), 1014 nucleotides long. It is a transcript of the gene named acyl-coenzyme A thioesterase THEM4-like, with no coding region annotated. The record is from RefSeq and is a predicted model, not a curated record. Lineage: Eukaryota; Metazoa; Chordata; Aves; Galliformes; Phasianidae. The transcript has 6 exons.